Molecule: ribosomal RNA, 926 nt
Filed under: uncultured Bacteroidota bacterium
Lineage: Bacteria; Pseudomonadati; Bacteroidota
Description: bacterial SSU rRNA
Rfam family: Bacterial small subunit ribosomal RNA
Source: RNAcentral
UGGAUCCAGACUUUGAUUCUGGCUCAGGAUGAACGCUAGCUACAGGCUUAACACAUGCAAGUCGAGGGGAAACGGCAUCGAAAGCUUGCUUUUGAUGGGCGUCGACCGGCGCACGGGUGAGUAACGCGUAUCCAACCUGCCCACCACUUGGGGAUAACCUUGCGAAAGCAAGACUAAUACCCAAUGACGCCUCUAGAAGACAUCUGAAAGAGAUUAAAGAUUUAUCGGUGAUGGAUGGGGAUGCGUCUGAUUAGCUUGUUGGCGGGGUAACGGCCCACCAAGGCGACGAUCAGUAGGGGUUCUGAGAGGAAGGUCCCCCACAUUGGAACUGAGACACGGUCCAAACUCCUACGGGAGGCAGCAGUGAGGAAUAUUGGUCAAUGGGCGAGAGCCUGAACCAGCCAAGUAGCGUGCAGGAUGACGGCCCUAUGGGUUGUAAACUGCUUUUAUAAGGGAAUAAAGUGAGUCUCGUGAGACUUUUUGCAUGUACCUUAUGAAUAAGGACCGGCUAAUUCCGUGCCAGCAGCCGCGGUAAUACGGAAGGUCCGGGCGUUAUCCGGAUUUAUUGGGUUUAAAGGGAGCGUAGGCCGGAGAUUAAGCGUGUUGUGAAAUGUAGACGCUCAACGUCUGCACUGCAGCGCGAACUGGUUUCCUUGAGUACGCACAAAGUGGGCGGAAUUCGUGGUGUAGCGGUGAAAUGCUUAGAUAUCGCGAAGAACUCCGAUUGCGAAGGCAGCUCACUGGAGCGCAACUGACGCUGAAGCUCGAAAGUGCGGGUAUCGAACAGGAUUAGAUACCCUGGUAGUCCGCACGGUAAACGAUGGAUGCCCGCUGUUGGUCUGAACAGGUCAGCGGCCAAGCGAAAGCAUUAAGCAUCCCACCUGGGGAGUACGCCGGCAACGGUGCAACUCAAAUGAAUUGACGGA